UUCAUGUCUGUGUUGAACCUUGGUCUCUUGUCUUUCAGACUUUACUACAGAGCUCUGCAAGCCGUAAGACACAGAAGAAAAAGAAAAAGAAGGCCUCAAAGACAGCAGAAAAUGCAACUGGACAGCCAACCGAGGACACAGAAGCCGUAGAAUAAAUAAAUAAAUAAAUACUGCCUUUCCACACAUGCAAGACCCCAAAGAGAAGCAAGAGAAAACAUGACAAAUUGCCUCUGCCCGUUAAACACCUAAUAGAGUUGUUUUCACCAAUUAAACCGAUUAAUUUUUGAUCCUACAAGACUUAACCCUUUACUGCAUUCACGGAAAGUACCAUGUUGCUUUUUCCUCCUAAACUUGAGUAUUAAAUAAACAAUUUGUUUUA
Molecule: non-coding RNA, 379 nt
Organism: Plectropomus leopardus (leopard coralgrouper)
Lineage: Eukaryota; Metazoa; Chordata; Actinopteri; Perciformes; Serranidae
Source: RefSeq, a predicted model, not a curated record